UACAUGGGGUGCAAACGUUGCUCGGAAUUAUUGGGCGUAAAGCGCACGUAGGUGGUCUGUUAUGUCAGAUGCGAAAGCCCUCGGCUUAACUGAGGAAGUGCACCUGAAACUGGCAGGCUUGAGUACGAAAGAGGGUCGCGGAAUUCCCGGUGUAGAGGUGAAAUUCGUAGAUAUCGGGAGGAACACCAGUGGCGAAGGCGGCUUUCUGGGCCUUACCUGACGCUGAGACGCGAAAGCGUGGGGAGCGAUCCGG
Molecule: ribosomal RNA, 253 nt
Filed under: uncultured bacterium
Lineage: Bacteria
Description: partial 16S ribosomal RNA
Rfam family: Bacterial small subunit ribosomal RNA
Source: RNAcentral